Molecule: long non-coding RNA, 1122 nt
Filed under: Cyanistes caeruleus (blue tit)
Lineage: Eukaryota; Metazoa; Chordata; Aves; Passeriformes; Paridae
Description: lncRNA (ENSCCEG00000003557.1)
Source: RNAcentral
AAUUUAAAAGGAUGAAAAAGGAGAGAAAAUUCCAUGAAAAUUUUGGGAAUUUUGGGGAAAAAAAAAUUUAAUUUUUAUUUUUUUUUUUUUUUUUCUGGGAAUUUUUAGGGAAUGAGAAGGAAAAAAAAAAUUGGGAAAAUGUCCCCAAAAUGAGGGAAAAAUUCCUGGAAUUUUUAAGGGAAAAUCCUGGUAUUUUUAAGGGAAAAUUCCUGGAAUUUUUAAGGGAAAAUCCUGGAAUUUUUAAAGGGAAAAAUCCUGGAAUUUUUAAGGGAAAAAUCCUGGAAUUUUAAAGUGAAAAUUCCUGAAAUUUUUAAGGAAAAAUCUGGAAUUUUUAAGGAAAAUCCUGGAACUUUUUAUGGAAAAUCCCUGAAAUUUCAGAGUCUCAAAAUUAAGGAAAAUUCCCCAAAAAAAUCCAGGAAAAUUCCCACAAAUUUGGGAGAAUUCGCCCCAAAAAUUCGGGAAAUUGAUCCCAAAAUUCGGGAAAAUCCCAAAUUCAGGCGGAAAAAUCCGAUUUUGGGGGUUUUGACCACCAAAAAAUGGGAUUUUGGGGUUUUUUGGGGAAUUUUUGGGUGGAUUUUGGGAAUUUUUGGGGAUUUUUGGGGAAUUUUUGGGGUUUUUUUGGGGUUUUUUUUUGUAGAUUUUGGUUUUUUUGGGAAUUUUUGGGAAUUUUUUCGGUGGAUUUUGGGAAUUUUUGGGAAUUUUUUGGGUUUUUUUGUGGAUUUUGGGGUUUUUUUGGAAUUUUUGGGUGGAUUUGGGAUUUUUUUUGUUUUUUGGGCAUUUUUGGGUGAAUUUUGGGAUAAAUUUGGGGAUUUUUGGGUCAAAUUUGGGAUUUUUGGGUCGAAUUUGGGGUUUUUUGGGACCCCGGAUCCGAUUUUGGGGUUUUUGGGGCUGAUUUUUGUUGUUUUUGGGGUGAAUUUGGGGGAUUUUGGGUUCAAUUUUGAAUUUUUGGGAGUGAAUUUUGGGAUAAAUUUUGUUGUUUUUGGGAUAAAUUUGGGGAUUUUUGGGGUAAAUUUUGUUAUUUUUGGGUCGAAUUUGGGGUUUUUUGGGUCAAAUUUGGGGAUUUUUGGGUCGAAUUUGGGGUUUUUUGGGUCGAAUUUUGUUAUUUUUGGGUCGAAUUUGGGG